CUAUUUAUUUUUAUAACUAUAUAUCUAUUUAUUUUUAACACAGUGUCCUUGUUCUUCUUUUUCUUCUUCUUCUUCUCCUUAUUAUUGUUAUUAUUAUUAUAGUUAUUAAUGAUAUUAAUAUCAUGUCUUUUAUUCAAAUGGGGAGGCCCCGGUGAAUUGAUGUUCUCUGAACAUUAUCGCAAAAAAAGUUUUCACAUUUGGUGGUUUUUCAGGCAUUUCAAAAAAGGAAUAUUUCGCAAAACUGCAAUGGAAAGUUUUUGCGCAUUUACAGUCACCUGACUUAGAAGACGAGGUGUGUUUGGGGUCCGUGUAUAAUAAUAAUAAUUAUCAUCAUUAUUAUAACAUUUAUUAGGCUACAUACUGGGCCGCAUUAAUGCACGGGCUUACCUGGGCUUAAGCCCAGGGCCCCGGGCUGAGGGAGGGCCCCGGUGAUGCCGGAAAAAAUAUAACCGCAUUUUAUAAUGUGAUGACUGUCCCUUUAACAUCGCUUUGAUUUGAAUACAUGUGCUGUUCUGCGCGUGAAGUUCAUUACGACGCGCCGUGUCUAGCAGCAAGCAACUAGUAUCAGUAUCUGGACAAUGCGGACAGACCCAGUCGCGCUGCCUGUGUGCGUACACAACGCGUUUUUGCUUUGAAAAACGCGAGAUGCGGGCAGUGGAAUGGGGGAAACCGCAAGGUCUUGAGACGCUUUUUAAAACUUUUAAACUUUUAACUUAGCUGAACUGAUUCAUGGCUUUAGAACACCAUGUCAUGCAUCAAGACGCGAGCGCAGCGGUUCUGCACAUCCUUCUAGCGCAUGUUUACAUAGAAAAACAAAGAAAAAGUAGCGCAGAAAAGCGCGUUCUGUGUGAACAGCCCCAAAGAAGACAAUGUGUUCGAAAUUUUAAAGACGUGGUGCAGCGCUACUGUAGAAGAGGAAAGUCAACUGCGCCAUCUUCUGGACACUUUUAGGCAUUCAGGUUAACAAGCAUCCAGGCCACCAUAGUUAUCAUGCACUGAUCAGCCAAUCAAAUCACCGCAUUGUAGGGUGACUGUUAAAUAGAACCGUAAGUUUCGUUUUUGCUUAGUCAGAAAGAGAUGGUUCUUGUGUUGUUUUCUGCCGAUUCCUGUCGAAGUUGUGUGCGUUAAUGACCAAAAGGACAGAUGAGCACAAGUGUUUAUCCAGUGGAAAGAGACUGAUGAAGGAAUGCUGCCAUCAAAGGCUCUGAAGCUUUUGUGGUGGAGCAGAGCCUGCAAGGUAAGGUGACGGCGGCAUUUGUGGACAAAAAAAAACCUGAAGCAUAUAAAGAUGUGAAAUGUCCUGGGACUGGUGUGAGCACUGAGGAUGGAGAGUCACAGCAGCAUCCUGGAAAUGGUAUAGUGACAUGGAUGAGACCCUCCAUCAUUCCACCUGCCCUUAUUUCCUCAUCUGGCCCGGAUGUUGCUGUGGUCUCUUCAUCCUCAGUGAGUCCAGAGUCAGCGAGAGCAUCUAGAAAAAGACCAAAGGACAAUGAGGAUGUGAUUUUGGUCAAGUUUGUUCUGCUGGUUUCUGUUCAUACACUGGAGCCCAACUUUCAUGAGCUUCAAAAACAUCAUCAAAUAAUGUCAUGAAGCUUCUGGAAGUCAGGUAGGUUCUUUUGACUGAUAUUGUAUGAAUAGAAACUAGCAGGACAAACUUGACCAAAAUUGUGUUCAGAAGAAGAAGAAACAGGGAUUGAACAGCGUGAAGGGAUGAUCCGAGUGGAUCAACCUGGAGUAAAGUGUCUUGCUCAAGGACACACUGGUGGUGAUGCUGCGGAGAUCAAACCACAAACUUCUGCUGCUUACCAGUUCAAUGGUUUAGCUCACUACACCACAAUAAUAAAGCUACAACAAAAAAUAGCAUGUAAUUGUAAAAAUACACUAUAUUGCGAAAAGUGUCGCCUGCCUUUACGUGCACAUGAACUUUAAUGACAUCCCAUUCUUAAUCCGUAGGGUUUAAUAUAGAGUUGGCCCUCCCUUUGCAGCUAUUACAGCUUCAACUCAAUUGUGAAGGCUUUCCCCAAGGUUUAGAAGUGUGUCUAUAGGGAUUUUUGACCAUUCUUCUAGAAGUGCAUUUGUGAGGUCAGGCAGUGAUGUUGGCAAGAAGGCCUGGCUCGCAGUCUCCGCUUUAAUUCAUCCCAAAGGUGUUCUUUCAGGGUGGGGUUAGGGCUGGGCGACAUGGCAAAAAUGUAAUCUCGAUCAUUUUUUCGCAUAUCGAUAGAUAACGAUAUAUAUUUCGAUAUAUAAACUGUUAAUGCUGCCAGCUUUAAAAGAGUAUCCCAACUAUGACUGAAGCCACAAAAAUUUGAGGGUUUAUUAAUUACAUUUUAAAAGUAUAGUUUAUUAACAAAAAUAGAUUACACAUUUGACCUUAAAAAAUUAAGACAACUUACUAACUUAGUGUGUGACUUUUAAUUAUAAACAAGCCUGAAAUACACCGGGGACUUUACACAAUUGCAGGCUGGUCCUUCAGAUUCUUACAACCAUCUAAAACACUUUAUAUAAAGGCCAUAAGGUAGACAUUGUCAUAAUUCAUCAACUUGAGUUAAUUAGCAAUCGCUUGGCAUAAAUCUGCACUUUUCAUUAAUUGAGAAUCACUUUGAAGCAGCCUGAAGCACUGUUGUGUGAGCCUGUGGAAGUGUAGAACGUGCAACAAUGCCGUCUUGUGACUUUGCAACAUGCAGCGCUCUUUGUGAAAUAUCCACCGCAUCUCUGCAGAGCACGUGGGAAUGUCAGCGGGAGUGAACAGUUCUGACGCACACAUAACAAGCAGGCACGAAACAGGUAGGGCGAGGUAAGAUUUUCCACUAGUUAAUCGAUUGCGGAUGGUUUCAUUAUCUUGGGCGGAUACAAAAGUAUUAGAGGAUAAAAAUAAUAAAAGCAUAAAUGUGUCUCCAAAUACUUGAGCAGCCGUUAAAGUCCGCGUGAACCGGAAGUUGCAAACGACUUUUCUCCAGUGCUGUGACGUAUUUCCAAGUGAAACGGAAUAUUGAAUAGAGGGCAGAGUUUUAUUUUAGCACUCCUCCUCUCCAUCUCUCGCUCAUA
Molecule: long non-coding RNA, 3045 nt
Organism: Megalobrama amblycephala (Wuchang bream)
Lineage: Eukaryota; Metazoa; Chordata; Actinopteri; Cypriniformes; Xenocyprididae
Exons: 5
Source: RefSeq, a predicted model, not a curated record